RNAcentral lists this non-coding RNA (102 nucleotides) under Mus caroli (Ryukyu mouse). The record is from RNAcentral. Lineage: Eukaryota; Metazoa; Chordata; Mammalia; Rodentia; Muridae.
GUGUUGUAUGAAAGGAGAAAAGGUAAGCACUUUACUUACCCUUGGGCCUAACAACACACAUACUGUUUAGGCAUUGCCACCUUCUUCAUGGCAUCUAGCCAC